GGCGCGCGCGCGUGUGUUUAUGUGUCUGUGUGCGUGUGUGUGUGUGUCUCUCUCUGUGUGUGUGUGAGAUGAAUUGGAGUCAUACGACUGGGUGUUUCCUUCCGAGUGGUUUUCAUCAGCAAUCCAUUAGGAAAUCAUGGAAACUUUUUUUUUCCUGGCUAAAAGGAUGAAAACUGAGUCAUCCACUUUUGACUGUCAUCCAUGGAAGAGCUCUUAUUAAAAGCCUCAGACUUUCGGGACCUAUGAUUCUUUGGCACAACCUUUUGGAAAAUUCUUAAGCAGGGAUGAAGCAAACUUGAUUGGAGUUGGGGAAAAAGAAGACAGAUUAGUAUUUUUCAUGCUGACAAAAAAUAGCUGCUAUGACUUUUCCCGCAACGUGGACAGGGGCCAAGUGAAGCUGAACUGGUCAUGGUCUGUCGCCCAGUGUUCCCUUGUCGUCGGCGAUUUUGCCCCCGACCCUUCUUGGUGGGCUUAGUGGUGGCAAUCUGUCUCUUCUACCAGACUCUGACCCUCCGAGGGUCGAGGAAGCUCACAGCCGCUGCCCCUGGGGCUGUCCCACACACAUCCACUGAAACCCAGGCAAGCAGAUGCAAGAAAGGAUUCUCUCAGGACAAACAGUGCUUCCUUCUCUCUGGUAAUGCCCAGGAAACCAGAAAGGUAAGACUCUCAUAAGCUUAACGGAGACAGUUUCUGCAAAGACAGCAAUCUGCUUCUCUGUCCUUUCUAUAAAACUAAAAUUAACUUCCAUGAGGUCUGAAAGGGAUCCAGAGUGUAAACAGCCUAGAGAGUGACCUGAUGACUGGGAAACACGUUACAUAAGCUUCAACUUCUUAUAGUUACUUCCAGAAAGUUCUGGCAUUACUUUAUCUCUUAGGAUUUCACUUCAUUUCAGUGGAAUGAAGUAGACAGUUUGGAGGAGGCAUAAAAUGAUGUGGAUUCUUUCUAAAAUAUCAGUAUUCUAAGAGAUCUGAGGAUUUACAAUUCAAAAACAUAAAUCAAAGUUUCAAAAACUUUGAUAAACCUUGAGUGUCUCUUUUCUCAAGGCAGUCAGUAUGAGUGCCCAGACCAUUCCAGACUCAAAGAUUCUCCAAAGUUUCAUUUUGUAACUAGCUAGAUUGAUUCUUAAUUGGUGACCACAUUUCUAAAGCAAUAUAUUUACUUCGAAAGCAUUAAAAUAAUAGGAUAAUAGGUUUCUUCAAAAGAAUUGAUACAAUGUAUUUUAUUGUUUAUAGGAUCAGGGAAAUACAGAUUAUUCUAUAUUUAUACUAUUCAGAUAAAC
This 1279-nucleotide long non-coding RNA is filed under the name Homo sapiens (human). Its description in RNAcentral is "HSALNT0128136". The record is from RNAcentral. Lineage: Eukaryota; Metazoa; Chordata; Mammalia; Primates; Hominidae.